GAUCGCGGCGACGCGGGCGGUCCGCUGCCGACGACGUCGCGAGAAGUCCACUGAACCUUAUCAUUUAGAGGAAGGAGAAGUCGUAACAAGGUUUCCGUAGGUGAACCUGCGGAAGGAUCAUUGUCGCC
RNAcentral lists this ribosomal RNA (128 nucleotides) under Kingiodendron platycarpum. Its description in RNAcentral is "partial 18S ribosomal RNA". It matches the Rfam family "Eukaryotic small subunit ribosomal RNA", at positions 1713 to 1831 of the family's 1831-position model. Lineage: Eukaryota; Viridiplantae; Streptophyta; Magnoliopsida; Fabales; Fabaceae. The record is from RNAcentral.